GGAGCCCCGGAGGGCUUUUGAAGAUGGGGAAACAGAGGCACUGAAAGUCCUGCGAGCGUUGUCUCCAGGACCAUCUGCAGUGGGAAUUAGAAUGGGCCCCAAUUCAGUAUUGGGGAAUACUGGAGUCCUUAAAAGAAGAGGAGAUGCACAGAGACGGGACAGGACACAAGAGGAUGGAGACAGAGAUUGGAGAACUGCAGCCGCAAGACAAGGACAGCCUGGAGCCACCAGGAGCUGGAAGAGGCAGGAAGGAUUCUCCCCUAGAGCACUCAGAGGGAGCUGACACAUUGACUUUGGACUUCUGGCCUCUAGAAUGUGGGGGAAUACGUUUCUGUUGCUGUGAGUCACCCACGUCAUGGUAUUUUGUUAUGGCAGUCCCGGGCCCUCAUACACUGUCCUUCUGUUCUUUGCAUAGUGAUGCUCC
Molecule: long non-coding RNA, 424 nt
Filed under: Pan troglodytes (chimpanzee)
Lineage: Eukaryota; Metazoa; Chordata; Mammalia; Primates; Hominidae
Description: long non-coding RNA NONPTRT006121
Source: RNAcentral